UACGUAGGGUGCAAGCGUUAAUCGGAAUUACUAGGCGUAAAGCGUGCGCAGGCGGUUUUGUAAGACUGUCGGGAAAUCCCCGGGCUUAACCUGGGAAUGGCGAUGGUGACUGCAAGGCUAGAGUUUGGCAGAGGGGGGUAGAAUUCCACGUGUAGCAGUGAAAUGCGUAGAGAUGUGGAGGAACACCGAUGGCGAAGGCAGCCCCCUGGGUCAAAACUGACGCUCAUGCACGAAAGCGUGGGGAGCAAACAGG
RNAcentral lists this ribosomal RNA (253 nucleotides) under uncultured bacterium. RNAcentral describes it as "partial 16S ribosomal RNA". It matches the Rfam family "Bacterial small subunit ribosomal RNA", at positions 524 to 776 of the family's 1533-position model. The record is from RNAcentral.